UAUUGAUCCUCUGGUCACAAUUGAACAUUCAUGUUUUGAUUGGAUGUCAACUCUAUGAAAGAUGAAAUAUAUUGUUGUUUUUAUUAACCCAUUAGAACACGAUACGUGACAGUAAUGUGAC
Molecule: non-coding RNA, 121 nt
Organism: Glycine soja
Lineage: Eukaryota; Viridiplantae; Streptophyta; Magnoliopsida; Fabales; Fabaceae
Source: Rfam